Molecule: small nucleolar RNA, 105 nt
Organism: Cynocephalus volans (Philippine flying lemur)
Lineage: Eukaryota; Metazoa; Chordata; Mammalia; Dermoptera; Cynocephalidae
Product: small nucleolar RNA U13
Exons: 1
Source: RefSeq, a predicted model, not a curated record
AUCAUUUUGUGGUUCAUAAGCUUGAUGAUUGGGUUUUCACACUAUUGUGUAAGAUGUGCCUUCCUCUAAACCUUGUUAUUAUGUCUGCACAUUACCAAUCUGAUG